Bos taurus (domestic cattle) is the source of this 599-nucleotide long non-coding RNA. The record is from Ensembl. Lineage: Eukaryota; Metazoa; Chordata; Mammalia; Artiodactyla; Bovidae.
CAGAGAAAAGCAGACACCUGCCCCGGAAGGGGGAGGGGGCGAGCUUUUCAGCAUCCGGACGCGGCCCUUCCCGGCGGCUGGAUCCAUCCAUCUGUGGGAGCUCCGAGUUGUCCCAGCCGAGCGGUUGGGGAGGAGGACAGCCGGCGGCCGGGGGGCACGUGGAAAUUCUCCGCCAAAGCGCCUUGCCCGGGCGAGUGCUCAACUCGGUGAUUUAUAAACAGCUCAGCCACUCCCCAAAGACCUCCGCUCCUCGUUAGUCAUGAUGAAUUCUCCGGCCCGUUCCACUUUGCUGUCUAGAUUAAGAUGCUCGGAGGCCCCAAAGUGCUCCCCUUGAGCGUUGAUUUGGCUUCCCUCACAAACUCACGAUCGCCGGCAACGCCAGCACUAAAGUAUUCGCGCGGUACACUCGAGCGUGCGUGGUUGCUCCGCUGCUACAGCACCGGCCUGCGCCGGAUCCUCCUACCCUUGCUAGCAGGCUCCGAAAGCGGCGGCAGGCACCUGCUCCGGGUGGCUGCGGCGCUGACGGCGCGACGCGCUCGUGCUGGGUAGAACCGUACUGCCGGUGCAGGGUCCCGCAGUCUCGCUCCGGAGUUCUCUGC